Molecule: transfer RNA, 84 nt
Filed under: Anaerotalea alkaliphila
Lineage: Bacteria; Bacillati; Bacillota; Clostridia; Eubacteriales
Rfam family: tRNA
About the family: Transfer RNA (tRNA) molecules are approximately 80 nucleotides in length. Their secondary structure includes four short double-helical elements and three loops (D, anti-codon, and T loops). Further hydrogen bonds mediate the characteristic L-shaped molecular structure. tRNAs have two regions of fundamental functional importance: the anti-codon, which is responsible for specific mRNA codon recognition, and the 3' end, to which the tRNAs corresponding amino acid is attached (by aminoacyl-tRNA synthetases). tRNAs cope with the degeneracy of the genetic code in two manners: having more than one tRNA (with a specific anti-codon) for a particular amino acid; and 'wobble' base-pairing, i.e. permitting non-standard base-pairing at the 3rd anti-codon position.
Source: Rfam by way of RNAcentral
GCCGGAGUGGCGGAACUGGCAGACGCACAGGACUUAAAAUCCUGCGGUCGAAAGACUGUACCGGUUCGAUCCCGGUCUCCGGCA